UCGAACGGUCUUCCAUUGAAAGCUUGCUGGAUAUGUGGAGAUAGUGGCGGACGGGUGAGUAACGCGUGAAUACCUGGCCAUCGGAGGGGGACAACGGGUGGAAACGGUCGCUAAUACCGCGUAAGCCGGAGGGUGAAAGGCCAUGUAAGUGGCCGCCGAUGGAUGGGUUCGCGUCCUAUCAUCUAGUUGGUGGGGUAAGGGCCUACCAAGGCGAACACGGGUAGCCGGUCUGAGAGGGUGAUCGGCCACACUGGAACUGACAUACGGUCCACACUCCUACGGGAGGCAGCAGUGGGGAAUAUUGGGCAGUGGGGGGAACCCUGACCCAGCGACCCCGCGUGAGGGAAGAAGGUUUUCGGAUCGUAAACCUCUGUUGUACGGGAAGAAGGAAGUGACGGUACCGUACGAGGAACCCCCGGCAAACUACGUGCC
This 432-nucleotide ribosomal RNA is filed under the name uncultured bacterium. RNAcentral describes it as "bacterial SSU rRNA". It matches the Rfam family "Bacterial small subunit ribosomal RNA", at positions 62 to 509 of the family's 1533-position model. The record is from RNAcentral.